This 65-nucleotide transfer RNA is filed under the name Dipodomys ordii (Ord's kangaroo rat). It matches the Rfam family "tRNA". From Rfam's summary of the family: Transfer RNA (tRNA) molecules are approximately 80 nucleotides in length. Their secondary structure includes four short double-helical elements and three loops (D, anti-codon, and T loops). Lineage: Eukaryota; Metazoa; Chordata; Mammalia; Rodentia; Heteromyidae. The record is from Rfam by way of RNAcentral.
GGUGGUUCAGUGGUAGAGUGCUUGCCUUGCAUGCAUGAAGCCCUGGGUUCAAAUCCUCAGCACCA